UAUCUAUUUUGUGAAGUGCACCAGUCCCUCCUGCAGCAAAGCACCCUCACAACAUGAUGCUGCCACCCUCGUGCUUCACGGUUGGGAUGGUGUUCUUCGGCUUGCAAGACUCCCCCUUUUUCCUCCAAACAUAACGAUGGUCAUCAUGGCCAAACAGUUCUAUUUUUGUUUCAUCAGACCAGAGAACAAAAAGUACAAUCUUUGUCACCAUGUGCAGUUGCAAACUGUAGUCUGGCUUUUUUAUGGCGGUUUUGGAGCAGUGGCUUCUUCCUUGCUGAGCGGCCUUUCAGGUUAUGUCGAUAUAGGACUCGUUGUACUGUGGAUAUAGAUACUUUUGUACCUGUUUCCUCCAGCAUCUUCACAAGGUCCUUUGCUGUUGUUCUGGGAUUGAUUUGCACUUUCCGUACCAAAGUAAGCUCAUCUCUAGGAGACAGAACACGUCUCCUUCCUGAGCGGUAUGACGGCUGCGUGGUCCCAUGGUGUUUAUACUUGCGUACUAUUGUUUGUACAGAUGAACGUGGUACCUUCAGGCGUUCGGAAAUUGCUCCCAAGGAUGAACCAGACUUGUGGAGGUCUACAAUAGUUUUUCUGAGGUCUUGGCUGAUUUCUUUUGAUUUUCCCAUGACGUCAAGCAAAGAGGCACUGAGUUUGAAGGUAGGCUUUGAAAUACAUCCACAGGUACACCUCCAAUUGACUCAAAUGAUGUCAAUUAGACAAUCAGAAGCUUCUAAAGCAAUGACAUCAUUUUUUGGAAUUUUCCAUGCUGUUUGAAGGCACAGUCAACUUAGUGUAUGUAAACAUCUGACUGGAAUUGUGAUACAGUGAAUUAUAAGUGAAAUAAUCUGUCUGUAAACAAUUGUUGGAAAAAUUACUUGUGUCAUGCACAAUGUAGAUGUCCUAACCGACUUGUCAAAACUAUAGUUUGUUAACAAGAAAUGUGUGGAGUGGUUGAAAACGAGUUUUAAUGACUCCAACCUAAGUGUAUGUAAACUUCCGACUUCAACUGUACUGUACUGUGCUAUAUAAAGAACAGCCUGUCCUCUCUGAAAGGUACUGUGCUAUAUAAAGAACAGCCUGUCCUCUCUGAAAGGUACUGUGCUAUAUAAAGAACAGCCUGUCCUCUCUGAAAGGUACUGUGCUAUAUAAAGAACAGCCUGUCCUCUCUGAAAGGUACUGUGGUAUAUAAAGAACUGCCUGUCCUCUCUGAAAGGUACUGUGGUAUAUAAAGAACAGC
Molecule: long non-coding RNA, 1234 nt
Filed under: Salmo salar (Atlantic salmon)
Lineage: Eukaryota; Metazoa; Chordata; Actinopteri; Salmoniformes; Salmonidae
Description: lncRNA (ENSSSAG00000104568.1, ENSSSAG00000106283.1)
Source: RNAcentral